AUUCAAUAAGUGCAAGGUCCAAAAUUCUGCUUAGUGGGGCCACCCUCAAAGAGUGCAAGGAUCAAAUCUGCUUAGUGGGGCGGUGGCAAAGCAAAAGUAUGCGAGAGUUUGUUCACUUGCCAUUAGAGUUGGCAAGACUGCAAUUUCCAUCAGAUUGUCUCAUCAUCUUCAUCUUUUUGUGAAAAUUGUACCUUUGUUUAACAACGAUCUUCUCUAAUCUCUAUCAAUAGAUGAGCCCUUUGACCCACCUUUGUUUAACAACGAUCUUCUCUAAUCUCUAUCAAUAGAUGAGCCC
RNAcentral lists this unclassified non-coding RNA (295 nucleotides) under Hevea brasiliensis (rubber tree). The record is from RNAcentral. Lineage: Eukaryota; Viridiplantae; Streptophyta; Magnoliopsida; Malpighiales; Euphorbiaceae.